Molecule: ribosomal RNA, 873 nt
Filed under: uncultured Methanolinea sp.
Lineage: Archaea; Methanobacteriati; Methanobacteriota; Methanomicrobia; Methanomicrobiales; Methanoregulaceae
Description: bacterial SSU rRNA
Rfam family: Archaeal small subunit ribosomal RNA
Source: RNAcentral
GGCCACUGCUAUCGGGGUUCGAUUAAGCCAUGCGAGUCGAGAGGUGCAAGACCUCGGCGCACUGCUCAGUAACACGUGGAUAACCUACCCUCAGGUGGGGGAUAACCCCGGGAAACUGGGGAUAAUACCCCAUAGACCAGGGACGCUGGAAUGCCCCCUGAUCGAAAGGUCCGCCGCCUGAGGAUGGGUCUGCGGCCGAUUAGGUUGUUGUUGGGGUAACGGCCCAACAAGCCUUUGAUCGGUACGGGUUGUGAGAGCAAGAGCCCGGAGAUGGAUUCUGAGACACAAAUCCAGGCCCUACGGGGCGCAGCAGGCGCGAAAACUUUACAAUGCGAGAAAUCGUGAUAAGGGAACCCCGAGUGCCCGUAAAUUCGGGCUGUCCAUCAGCGUAAAAAACUGGUGAAGAAAGGGCCGGGCAAGACCGGUGCCAGCCGCCGCGGUAAUACCGGCGGCUCGAGUGGUGGCCACUAUUACUGGGCUUAAAGCGUCCGUAGCUGGAUUGUUAAGUCUCUUGGGAAAUCCGCCGGCUUAACCGGCGGGCGUUCAGGAGAAACUGGCAAUCUAGGGACCGGGAGAGGUGAGAGGUACUCCAGGGGUAGGAGUGAAAUCCUGUAAUCCUUGGGGGACCACCUGUGGCGAAGGCGUCUCGCUAGAACGGCUCCGACAGUGAGGGACGAAAGCUGGGGGAGCAAACCGGAUUAGAUACCCGGGUAGUCCCAGCUGUAAACGAUGCGCGUUAGGUGUAUCGGUGACCACGAGUCAUCGAGGUGCCGAAGGGAAACCGUGAAACGUGCCGCCUGGGAAGUACGGUCGCAAGGCUGAAACUUAAAGGAAUUGGCGGGGGAGCACCACAACGGGUGGAGCCUGCGGUUU